GGGGCUGUGGCUCAGUGGUAGAGUGCUUGCCUAGCAUGCAUGAGGACCUGGCUUCAAUCCUCAGCACCACA
RNAcentral lists this transfer RNA (71 nucleotides) under Marmota monax (woodchuck). RNAcentral describes it as "tRNA.Ala". It matches the Rfam family "tRNA". From Rfam's summary of the family: Transfer RNA (tRNA) molecules are approximately 80 nucleotides in length. Their secondary structure includes four short double-helical elements and three loops (D, anti-codon, and T loops). The record is from RNAcentral. Lineage: Eukaryota; Metazoa; Chordata; Mammalia; Rodentia; Sciuridae.